GGCCUCCUAGCUCAGUUAGCUAGAGCGUUGGCUUUACUAAAGCCUUCCCCUUGCUGGCGUGGGUUCGAAUCCCACUGAAGCCA
Non-coding RNA from Schistocephalus solidus, 83 nucleotides. Lineage: Eukaryota; Metazoa; Platyhelminthes; Cestoda; Diphyllobothriidea; Diphyllobothriidae. The record is from Rfam.